This 561-nucleotide ribosomal RNA is filed under the name Prionurus maculatus (yellowspotted sawtail). Its description in RNAcentral is "partial 16S small subunit ribosomal RNA". It matches the Rfam family "Bacterial large subunit ribosomal RNA", at positions 1822 to 2590 of the family's 2925-position model. Lineage: Eukaryota; Metazoa; Chordata; Actinopteri; Acanthuriformes; Acanthuridae. The record is from RNAcentral.
CUUGCAAAAACAACGAAUAAGAGGUCCCGCCUGCCCUGUGACUAUAAUUUUAACGGCCGCGGUAUUUGGACCGUGCGAAGGUAGCGCAAUCACUUGUCUUUUAAAUGGAGACCUGUAUGAAUGGCACGACGAGGGCUUAGCUGUCUCCUUUUUCCAGUCGAUGAAAUUGAUCUCCCCGUGCAGAAGCGGGGAUUUACACAUAAGACGAGAAGACCCUAUGGAGCUUUAGACACCAAAGCAGAUCAUGUUAAACACCCCUAAAUAUAGGACUAAACCAGAUGAACCCUGCCCUAGUGUCUUUGGUUGGGGCGACCGCGGGGAAACACAAAACCCCCACGUGGAAUGGGAAUACCCUCCUACAACCUAGAGCCUCCGCUCUAGUAAACAGAAUUUCUGACCAAACAGAUCCGGCAAUGCCGAUCAACGGACCGAGUUACCCUAGGGAUAACAGCGCAAUCCCCUUCUAGAGCCCAUAUCGACAAGGGGGUUUACGACGUCGAUGUUGGAUCAGGACAUCCUAAUGGUGCAGCCGCUAUUAAGGGUUCGUUUGUUCAACGAUUA